GAAGUACACCCCGACGACAAGCAAGCCU
Molecule: small RNA, 28 nt
Filed under: Bombyx mori (domestic silkworm)
Lineage: Eukaryota; Metazoa; Arthropoda; Insecta; Lepidoptera; Bombycidae
Description: ovarian small RNA-15260
Source: RNAcentral